Cyprinodon tularosa is the source of this 520-nucleotide long non-coding RNA. RefSeq lists it as uncharacterized. The record is from RefSeq and is a predicted model, not a curated record. The transcript has 3 exons. NCBI's taxonomy places the organism in Eukaryota, Metazoa, Chordata, Actinopteri, Cyprinodontiformes, Cyprinodontidae.
GAUGACUUGGAUCCCCAGCUGGCUAGGCUGGCCUCUCUGGGUUUUACUGGCUGCCUGUCAGUAGUUCAGUUUAACUCGGUCAGUCCUCUGAAGGCUGCCCUUCUCCACCCGGACACCAGCCCUAUCCACAUCACUGGACCUUUGGUUCAGUCCAACUGCGGCUCUGCAGCUUCAGCCAAUCCCUACGCUGCUGAAAACAUUCACCAUAUAUUGGACCAGUCUGGUUCAGUGGGCUCAGGUCAACCUUUAGUCAAUGCCAUCAGGACUGACUCAGCUCUUAUCGGAGGUGUCAUAGCUGUCGUCAUUUUUGUUAUUCUUACCGGAUUGGCCAUCGCUGCCCGACACCUGUACCAGAGGAAGGACACGUAUCGAACCCAGGAGGAGAACAGGGUCAAACAGGAGGACUGUCCAGAUUUCCCACUGAACAACCCGAAUGACUCCCAGAACCUAUCCACGGAAAAUCCAAAGGAAUACUUUAUUUAACAGGAGUUAUAAUAAUGUGAUGAGCUGCUGGUGUUUU